Molecule: ribosomal RNA, 396 nt
Filed under: uncultured bacterium
Lineage: Bacteria
Description: partial 16S ribosomal RNA
Rfam family: Bacterial small subunit ribosomal RNA
Source: RNAcentral
AUACGUAGGUGGCAAGCGUUGUCCGGAUUUACUGGGUGUAAAGGGGGCGCAGGCGGGAAGCUAAGUUGGAUGUGAAAUACCGGGGCUCAACUCCGGAGCUGCAUCCAAAACUGGUUUUCUUGAGUGGAGUAGAGGCAAGCGGAAUUCCGAGUGUAGCGGUGAAAUGCGUAGAUAUUCGGAGGAACACCAGUGGCGAAGGCGGCUUGCUGGGCUCUAACUGCCGCUGAGGCCCGAAAGCGUGGGGAGCAAACAGGAUUAGAUGCCCUGGUAGUCCACGCCGUAAACGAUGAUUACUAGGUGUGGGGGGUCUGACCCCUUCCGUGCCGCAGUUAACGCAAUAAGUAAUCCACCUGGGGAGUACGGCCGCAAGGCUGAAACUCAAAGGAAUUGACGGGG